RNAcentral lists this ribosomal RNA (402 nucleotides) under uncultured bacterium. RNAcentral describes it as "bacterial SSU rRNA". It matches the Rfam family "Bacterial small subunit ribosomal RNA", at positions 29 to 416 of the family's 1533-position model. The record is from RNAcentral.
AGCGAACGUUAGCGGCGGGCCUAACACAUGCAAGUCGAACGCGAAAGGUCUUCGGACUGAGUAGAGUGGCGCACGGGUGAGUAACACGUAGGUAAUCUACCCUUUGGCGGGGGAUAACGUUCCGAAAGGAGCGCUAAUACCGCAUAAGACCACGGAGUCUCCGGACGCUGUGGGAAAAGGUGGCCUCUUCUUGAAAGCUACCACCGAAGGAUGAGCCUGCGUCCCAUCAGCUAGUUGGUAAGGUAAUGGCUUACCAAGGCGAAGACGGGUAGCUGGUUUGAGAGAAUGAUCAGCCACACUGGGACUGAGACACGGCCCAGACUCCUACGGGAGGCAGCAGUGGGGAAUUUUGGACAAUGGGCGCAAGCCUGAUCCAGCCAUGCCGCGUGCGGGAAGAAGGCC